RNAcentral lists this ribosomal RNA (440 nucleotides) under uncultured bacterium. RNAcentral describes it as "partial 16S ribosomal RNA". It matches the Rfam family "Bacterial small subunit ribosomal RNA", at positions 338 to 795 of the family's 1533-position model. The record is from RNAcentral.
CCUACGGGUGGCAGCAGUGGGGAAUAUUGCACAAUGGGGGAAACCCUGAUGCAGCGACGCCGCGUGAGUGAUGAAGUAUUUCGGUGUGUAAAGCUCUAUCAGCAUGGGAGUGAAUUACGGUACCUGAGUAAGAAUCUCCGGCUAACUACGUUCCAGCAGCCGCGGUAAUACGGAGGGGGCAGGCGUUAUCCGGAUUUACUGGGUGUAAAGGGAGCGUAGACGGCGAAGAAAGUCUGAAGUGAAAGACCGCGGCUCAACCGCGGAACUGCAUUGGAAACUUUUUGGCUGGAGUACCGGAGAGGUGAGCGGAAUUCGUGGUGUAGCGGUGAAAUGCGUAGAUAUUAGGAAGAACACCAGUGGCGAAGGCGGUUCACUGGACGGUAACUGACGUUGAGGCUCGAAAGCGUGGGGAGCAAACAGGAUUAGAUACCCUUGUAGUC